Molecule: long non-coding RNA, 1495 nt
Organism: Bombus pascuorum
Lineage: Eukaryota; Metazoa; Arthropoda; Insecta; Hymenoptera; Apidae
Exons: 2
Source: RefSeq, a predicted model, not a curated record
GAAAUCCCUCCUCGCAAUUCUCACUUAGCGCGCAGUUGACCACUCAUUUUAUCUUAUUUUUAAAUGGAAGUUUAUUUGUCUCGAUGAUCAGGGUGAUUUGUUUUCUGUUCAAUCAUCCUUUCCUUGACACAAUUAAAAGUUAUUCAACGUAGAGGCGUACAUGUAAAUAAUUCGAGUGAUUUACAAUUAGAAAUAUUGGUCCGUUCGAGCGAUAAUUAAUUAUAUAACUCACUUUGGAUAUUUAUAUAUAUAGCCACGGUACGAUCAAAGAAUAUAUAAGAAAAUCUUAGGGUACUCAAUUUUACUGUUGUUAGAAUUUUCUUGUAAUGAAAAAAUAUUUCAGAGGAAUUUUAAAAUUCGUUGUAAUCGAUUACACGAGAUGUGCAUUUUAUGCUUGCAAAUGGCACGAGGUAUAUUUUUCGCGUGUUUGUAUGCAGAUAAGUGAUGUAUUAUAAAAGUGGAUUCAUAGAAACGCGAGGCAACCGAGAAUCGCUGUGGAAAAUCCACUUUCGAUCCUGACUACACGGCGAAGGAUGAGAAGGGAACUUUAUUUAUGAAAGGCUAUUCUUGAGGAAACGCAUACGAACCGAUACGAUCGCCUUUGAGUUGUGAACGAACGACAGCCGAUAUCAAUCAGGCUACGAAGCGCAUUAAUUGUAUUUUCAGUUUCCGUACCAUCCAAUUAAAAGUUCGUUUAUACCGAUUGACCAUUUUACACAGUUCAAAAUUAUUCCAUGGUUACUAUGCAUUUCUUUAUUUGUAUUCUAUGCAGCAGGUGAACGACGAUGCAAGACAGGUUUCAAGGAGUCGUGCGUGAAUUUGUGCCAUCGACGAUUUACAGGAGAAGUUUUAUCUACUCAUGGUCUCAUUUGCAUAAUUGUGCGCUUAAAGUUAACGUGAAUUAGACGAGUUGGAAAAACCUAAUUUAUUCGUCUUUUGAUUAUUGCCUUUAUUGAUUAUUGAAUACAUUUAUUUGUCGAUGAGGAAAUAGUGUUUGUAAUUAAAAGAUAUAAGGUUGCAUAUAUUUCAAAGUUAGCGAGAACUAAUCGAGUUGGAAGAAUCCUGAUUAGAUUAUUUUCACUUUCUACGCGAGGUUUAAUAUCUUUAUCAAUAUCUUUCUACAAAUACUUUUCGAAUUUUUUUGAAGAUAAAAGAAUGAUGUCUAUAAGUAAGAGAAAUAAGAUUGGAGAUUUAUAUUAUCUUGAGUCAACUGUUUCUAGGAAGGUUUACGAAGUCGAGGCUGAGGUCUGAAUAAAAAAAGAAUAAUGAUAGACGGAGCAAUUUUUUCUUAUUUCACGCACCGAACUUUCACAGCUAAACAGGUUUUAUACUACUGUCAAAUUAAGAUCCAGCAGGAUGUUCAUGCAGAUGUUUCUAUUGUAAUAAAAAUGACAAUGCAUAAUUUUUGAUUGAUGACUGUAAUUUGCGAAGAAUCUUGUUAUUUCCGACUUUUUCUUAUUUUAAAAUAACGAUGAAAGAUAAUGUUAAAAAGUUA